This is a non-coding RNA of Heterocephalus glaber (naked mole-rat), 2206 nucleotides long. The record is from RefSeq and is a predicted model, not a curated record. NCBI's taxonomy places the organism in Eukaryota, Metazoa, Chordata, Mammalia, Rodentia, Bathyergidae.
GGUUUCUCUGGUCUCAUGUCUCGGGGCAGGAGGGACGGUGUCAGCAGGAGCAGGCAGAGGAUGCCCACCUCCUGCUCCAAGGGUCCCACAUCUCAAAGCCAAGGAAUUUCACUCUCGGGCCUUAGGGGCCCCCUCAAAGCCCCAAGGGCCCCACUUCCAGGCCCAGGGUCUGAGCACAGAAGAGUUCAGGAGGUCCCCAAUGUUCGGUCUCAGAGCCCUCAAAUCUGCCUUUAGCGGCCCGCGAGGCUGAGCGCCUCAGCGCUUCGACGCUCCUGAGAGGCUCCGGGCUCCAUUCCAGUCAGUUUCCACCUUCUGCCCAGAAGCUACGCGCCUGCAAAUUUCAGCUCUCCGCGGUAGCUCCACCUCCAGUACACUGGACCCCACAUCCUGCACUCCAAGGACCUUCCUCCCAAAGCCUGGAAAAGAAACAAGGAUGCCCAAUUUCACAUCCCUAUAAGCCUGGGGAUACAAUAUAAGGGACAGAAAGAGGCUUGUCUUGUCCCUUGCUUGCUUUGCUGUCUUCUGCCUGCCAUGAAGUGGUUCUCCUCUGCGGUGCCUGUCUGCCAAGCCACCCUGCCUUGAAGCCAGCCGAUUAUAGACUGAAACCUCUACAAACUGUAAAGAAACCAAGGAGACAGAAGGCAGCUUGCUGAGUGUCACAGCCAGUGCCAGGAAUUGCACUCUGCUUCCUCCAGCACCAAAGCUUGCACUCUUGGCUCCUCCUUACUCACCGCCCUGAGAAGGAAGAGCAGUGCAGGAAUUCCCCAUCUCCCCUUGCCAAAUGCUUCUCAUUUUAGAAGAAAGCAACACAUGACGUCAUCUCAACAAGUGAAGGUAAAGUCCAGGAAAGCAAAGCUGGAUUCCAGCACUGACUAGGGACUCCGGGGCUGCUCAGCACCAUGGCAGAACAAUACUGGGAGGAAGGUCACAUAAAAGUGAUGGAGGCAGAUGGAAAAGAAGCUGCCUUCAUCACCCAUGGUGGUAAGACCUAAGUGUGAAAAAUCAAGUACUAGCAAUCAAAGUACAUUAGUUACACACCCGGAGGAAAAUACCAAAAGUAUUGGUCGAAAGAGCUGAGGAGGAAUUGAAGGAAACGGAAGAAGGCAAGAGGACUACUCUUUCUUACAUCAAAUCUUCUAAAGCUAUUUGACUCUUUAUAAAGAGUGUAAAUGUGUAUGUAGCUUUCGUUAAAAAAAAAAAAUUAAAAAACAACCAACUGAAUACUUAUUUGAGAACUAUUCCAGCAUGAGGUUAUGUGUUCUAUGGGUGACAACAACAAAAAUAGUUUUCAAUGUAACAGUUAAGUAAAAUAUGAAAAAAUUCUCAGAAAUUGGCAAAUAAUUCCAAGUAAAAUUUGAUAAUGAGAUAAAUAAAAAGAUAAUUAGAAAAUGGAGUGACAAAAGGACAGUAAAUUUCUUUAAAAAUCUGUGUUUUAAAGUAGUUUAAAAAAAAAGUACACCUUCCUCAUUUCCUCCCAGACACGCCUUUCCCAGAUUUAUCUAGUCUCAUCCUCCUUGCAUUUCUGAGUAGUGGGCAGAGCAGUUUUUAUCAUCCCCACGUCACAGAGGGGAAAAUAAGGUCCAAACCCAAUGGGUAGCAUAGCAGGGGCACCAUGUCAUUGCGCAUACAGGAAGAAUUAUGGUGAGUGCUUCACAAAUGUGUCUGAGGAGCAAAACUGUAAAAAAGAUUGUUAUGACAGUGUUUAUUUAUCAGCAUCAUUACAUGGUGAUGACAUGGGUACAAAAAGGGACACUCAAAUUAUCACAACUGGCACCACCCUGAGGUAGAAUGGAAGAAAUAAAGACAGGUAGAAAAUGAAAAUCAGCAUAGAGGUAACAUCUCCUGGACAUGUCAUUUUCUUAUGCACACAAGAAUUACUCCUGGGGUUCAGGGUAGUAUGAUGAUUGUGAUAUUUAUAGACAUUUUUCUUAGAGGAUACUGGUUCUUUUGUAUUUCUUAGAGGUUCCUUUUUCUUUUUAGAUGGUCAGUAUUCUUUCAGGGGUCUUGGUCAUGUAAGAAACUUGAAGUUUACAAAAGGAAAAGUUCUAAUCUAAAUUGGGACUCAGCUCAAAGUGGGAGAGCCUUUAAAGAAUAUUUCUUUUCCUGAUAUCAUUGGACGAUAGGCUAUGAUGACCAGCAAUACUGUAUGCUUUUUUAUAGAAAUAGAGGCCCUGUGUCUUUGGAUCUGAGACCUAAUAAAUGAUUA